GGCAUUAGAGUAAGCUUUGUAAAAGAAACUCUCCUUAUCUUCUCUCCCUGCCAUCUUUCUCUCUCUAUUUCAAUGUUGAUUUCAAGAUUUUCGGUGAAGUCAAACAAAUUCUCCCUCUUUUGAUUGCAUCUUAGGUUCUUUAGGGUUUUGUGUUGGAGAAUUUGAAUUCGUGAUGUUUCUUGAUUGGAAUUUCACAAUGUAAUUGAUGUUCCUUUUGCUUUAGUGGUUUCAAAUGUUCAAGAAUUUACAAUGUCUUUGUGAUUUUUUACCAAGAUUCUAUAAUGUCUUUUUUUUAGUGAAGAAAAUUGUCUGAUAGAUUUUUUACUAAGAUUGUAAUUGUUUGUGGAAUCUUUAAUAGUGAAAUACUUGGGUUAAUAUCAAAUAGAUUUCUGGGUUCGCCUGUUUGGAAUUGACAACUUCUAUUUGUCUUGUUAUGUUUCUUGAUUUUCAAUCAUUCUAGUACUUACCAGUUUUUUUUUUUUUCUGAUUUUUCAUCAAGAUUAUUAUCAAGAUUGACAGUGUUUUUUCAUCAAGAUUCUGAAAUUUAUAAGUUUAGUCUAAUGCAUCAUUUCACCUUUUUUUUUUGGUUGUUGGUGGGUAGGCGGGGGAUGGAUGACAUGUACUUCAUGCAGUAUCUUAAGGUUUCUAAUAAUCAAGAUGAUUAUCAAGAUUUUGUCAAUGAUUGAUGAAGAUCUUAAAUUAAAAUUUCAAGAAACUUAAAGAUUUUGUCACCUUUCGUUUUGUCAAUUUUGUUUUUUUUUGGAUGGGUAUUGCCUUGAGAUUUCUAAUAGUAAAAUAUAAGUUCUCAGGGGUGGUUUACUUGAACUAAUCUCUGUGUGUCUCAUUCGUAUUGUGAUUUCAAGAUUUUCAGUUAAGUGAAAGAAACUCUCCCUCUCUUCUCUCGUUGGCAUUAAAGUAAGCUUCCUAUCUCUCUUUUUCAAUGGAUAUUCGUAUUGUGAUUUCAAGAUUUUUCGGUGAAGUCAAACAAACUCUCCCUCUUUUGAUUGCAUCUUAGGUUCUUUAGGGUUUUAUGUUGGAGAAUUUGAAUUCUUAAUGUUUCUUGAUUGUAAUUCACAAUGUAAUUUAUAUUCUUUUUGCUUUAGUGGUUUCAAAUGUUCAAGAAUUUACAAUGUCUUUGUAAUUUUCUUAUUAAGAUUCUACAAUGUCUUUUCUUUAGUGAUGACAGUUGUCUGAUGGAUGUUUUGGUCACUACUUUGGUUAUGGUAUGUAGUACCAGAGGGGCUUUGCAGUUUUAUAAAGGCCUCAUCUAUUCCAAUAUAACAGUAGCUCUUUGAGGGAUUCAGGGAUGCACCAUUUCACCUAUUCAACAACAAGAAACAAAACGUCUUCAGCUAGACUACAUAUAUGUUGGGAGGGGGAGGUCAAGUGAUGAUCUCACUGCAUAUGGACUCAUAUCUGGAUUUGUGAGGCGGUUUCCAGUUUUAGUGAGUUUAUCUUCACUGGAUAAGGAUCAUCUUGUUCAGAUUUGUCUACUCUUUUUGCCUUUUUGCAAUGUAGUUUCUAGUUUCACGUUUUCAUUAUUUAAUCAGCUUUUUGGGAAUUCCAACUGUGCUUAGGAGGUUGAUGACCAACCUUAAAAUAGUCAUAUUAUGAUGAAUCCUCAUAGUAUUUGUUGAGAUGAUGUCCUAAUGAAAUUGGCCCAACCAGAGUGAACCACCCCCGACUUUUAAAUGUGGUUUUGAACGAUUGAUUGGAUGGGGAACUUUGGGAGUUUGUUCGUUUUGCUUUUAGGUGCUAUCAUGGACUGUUAGCUGGCAUUAAGAAGGGAAGACUAGUAAACUCAAUAUGUUUUGUUAAAGAACCCAAAAAUGCUCUUUGCAAGCAAUACAGGCAAUCAACUUGAAUAAUGAAAAAAGGGAAUGUGAAGAAGAAGAAGUCAUUCUUGAAAAAAAAAAUCAAAAACAAAAUGAUACUCCAUUAUGAUGCAUUGGAUCAAAUUCAGUCUUUGGAUCCAAAUGUAAUUUAUAUUCUUUUGCUUUAGUGGUUUCGUAUCAAGAAUUUUACGACGUCUUUGUGAUUUUUUACCCAAGAUUCUAUAAUGUCUUUUGUUUAGUGAAAAAAGUUGUCUGAUGGAUGUUUUGGUCACUACUUUGAUUAUGGUAUGGAGUACCAAAGGGGCUUUGCAGCUUUAUGUAGGCCUCAUCUGUUCCAAUAUAACAGUAGCUCUUUGAGGGAUUCAGGGAUGCACCAUUUAUAUUCAUCUGUUCAUUCAAAUGGCCUAUAACUCUUGUAAAUCUUUAUACAAAUUCACAUAUGUAGUUCCUUGACUCCAAAUAUGUUCUCUUUUGAAGCAUUUUUCGAGAUCAAUAAUUUCACUUGUUGAGUUUAUCUUUAUUUCUUCUUCAAAUUAGAAGUGUACGUGAAGAGCUCGGAAACAUCCACGUGGCAAUACUAUUCAGUUUAGUGCUUUUUAGAAUCAAUUGGAUUAAGUUGGGGGUGGAAUACAAAUCUCUACAAGGAAAGAAUGUUUGGCCAAGGAAAAUCAGAUGUCAUUCACUGACCUAUUCAACAACAAGAAAUAGAAGGUCUUCAGCUAGACUACACAUAUGUUGGGAGGGGGAGGUCAAGUGAUGAUCUCACUGCAUAUGGACUCAUAUCUGAAUUUGUGAGGUGGUCUCCAGUUUUAGUGAGUUUAUCUUCACUGGAUAAGGAUCAUCUUGUUCAGUGCUAUCGUGGACACUUAGCUGACAUUAAGAAGGGAAGACUAGUAAACUCAAUAUGUUCUGUUAAAGGUUAACUUACAGUUUACCGAGAAUGCACUUUGAGUUAUUGUUGAGGAAUACAUUGCCAAAAACACUGGUGCAUGAGGCUUAAAAUUUAUACUAGAAAGUAUACUGACUGAAGCCAUGUUUUGAGGUAUUGCAUGACAUUUGGCAUUAAUUCUGGAAGAGCUUGGAAAAAUAUUUCACCCAUUUUACUCUUAUCACAUUGAGGCUACUAAAGGGAGGAGAUAUGUCACCUUUUAUUUGAGAGUAUGAGACUGCUGACUUCAAUGUAGAAUCAGCUCAGCAAGGGGUUGUCUACAUAGAUGAAGUUGAUAAAAUAGCCAAAAAGGCUGAGAGCCUUAACAUUGGCAGAUGUAUCUGAGAAGGACACCCAACCGCGCUGCCAAUGAUGCUUGAAGGAACUAUAGCUAAUGAUGUCCUUUUUAUCUGUGGUGGAGCUUUUGUGGUUUAAAGAAGGCAAUUUCAGACAUGUGUCAAGCUCAAUUAAUUUCAUGAAACACAUUUAGGUUAAGUGAUAUAUUAUGGUUCAGCUUUAUCAUUCCUUUACUCCCAGAUGACAAUAUUCUUCAAUUGGAUUUGGAGCACCUGUUCAAACUAACAUGAGAAUUGGUGGUCUAACUGAUGCUGGAGUUACAUCAUCACUUCUUUUCCGGAUCACUAUUCUGUAAAUCUAGUGAUUUUAUGACUCUUUAUUCUCGUGAAAUUCUUAAAAUAAAAUGCAUCAGAAGCAUUUGUUUGACAUUGCUUUCUGUAUCCCGGUAGAAAGUGAUGAUCUCACUGUGUAUGGACUCAUACCUGAAUUGGUUAGGUGGUUUCCAGUUUUAGGAGUUUGAUGCAUAUUUUGGUCACUACUUUUAGGCUCUUUUCUAGGGAUGUAAUUAUUUGUGGAAUCUUAAUGGUGAAAUACUUGGUUAAGAUCAACUAUAUUUCUGGGUUCUUUGUUGUUUUUAUUUUUCCUUUAAAAUAUACCAAGAGUUGAUUGCCUGUUGUUAUACUGUUGGAUGCUAUUUUUUUCCUAAUAUAUAUGAAGAUUAAUAAUCAGUAUGUUGCUAUGCUCUAUAGUUAAGUCGCUACAGUGGCUUGGUCAUAGCAGCUAGAACUUGGUUGUAUUGUGUGUGACUUUUCCUUUUUCUGUUUCCUCACUCUUAGAGCUCUGCUUUUCCUGUGAUAGACAAAGAAUUUUCUUCAGAAAUGUUGGUUUCCUUUUGACUAGUACAUUCGUGUUGGCACGACACUUGUUAAAGUUAUUAUACUGAUUGAAACUUUACUAAGUGAUUGUUGUUGUUAUUUAAUAAUAAUAAUGUUAUUCAUUAUUAAUAUUAAUAUUUUUUAUUUUCAUUAUUAUCUUUUCCAUCUGCAGCCAAUUAAAACUGCAAAUUGUUUCCUUUUGUUGGUAGAGACUAGGGAAAACAUAGACUUUUGGAGGACCCAAAAAAAUGGCGAAUUUGUCUAUUUCAAACAUACUCGAGAAGGACAAGGACUAGAGACAUAUGACAACUUCUUAUUUGCUAAUUGAGUUAAACAAAGAGGGGUUUCAACUUGAUGUUGAGCUUGAAAGGGAAGUUAUCAAGUGCAAUUUUGCAGCAGCUUGAUGAUGCAGUCGAUAAUGUUUCUGGAUAUGCUGUCAAAUGGUUUGACUUUUUCUCAUUUGUUGUUUCUUAUACUCAUGAUGUUCCUGUCUUGGGACUAGGAGCUUCUUAUUGACCAUACUAAAAUGGUUGUAGUCUUUUUCAUAUUAUAGUCCUUGUUGCAUAAUCAACAUCGGCCUACCAAAUAUUUCAUUUUCCUUGUUAAAUGGUUUAAUCUUUUCCCAUUUUUUGUAUCUUGUGUUGUUCCUUUCUUGGGACUAGGAGCUUCUUAUUUGACCCUACUACAAUGGUAGUAAUCUUUUUUUGUAUUAUAGAUCCUGUUGCAUAAUCACCAUAGCUCUGUCAAAUAUUUCAUUUUCCUUGUUAAAUAGUUUAACCUUUUCCCAUUUGUUGUUUCUUGUGUUGUUCCUGUCUUGGGACUAGGAGCUUCUUAUUGACCCUACUACAAUGGUAGUAAUAUUUUUCAUAUUAUAGAUCCUGUUGCAUAAUCACCCUAGGUCUGUUAUUUCGUUUUCCUUGUUAAAUGGUUUAACCUUUUCCCAUUUGUUGUUUCUUGUGCUGUUCCUGGCUUGGGACUAGGUGCUUCUUAUUGACCCUUACUAAAAUGAUGGUAAUCUUUUUCAUAUCAUAGAUCCUAUCGCAUAAUCACCAUAGGUCUGCCAAAUAUUUUGAGACCAAACAUGUUUGGCAAUUGCACUGUUCAAGUUGUUUUGUGCAACCCUGUUUGAUGGGUGAGUUAGGUCAAAUACUGGUUUAUAUGCCUUGCAGCAAUCAUCUACGAAUGAUGUAAAAUUCUAACGAGCUGGACAGUACUUGUUCAAUAGCUCAUCACUGUUCUUUCUAGAUGCUGACUGCUCUUCAUAAUUUUCCAUAAACUAAUUGCAGAUAGACACUAAAGAUUUCUUUUUUAUCUGCGGUGGUGCUUUUGUUUAGUUUAGAGAAGACAAUUUCAGAAAGAUGACAAGAUUUUUCAAUUGGAUUUGGAGCACCAGUUCGAACUAACAUGAGAACUGGCGGUCUAACUGAUGCUGUAGUCACAUCAUCACCAUUGGAAUCUGUGAGGAGAUCCCUGUGAAAAUUAUGAAGAGCAUAGUUCUAUCAUUAGCUAUUUUAUUCUGGAAAAGAAGGAAGCAACAAAAGAAGACUUGGACUCGGAGUCUGUGGCUCCGGCAAGAGCCUUGUGCUUGUGAUCUCAGUGUCUGUUUCUUUUCAAAAAAAAAUUGUGAAUUCUUGUAUAUAAAGUAUUAGAAAACGUGCAAAGCUAAUUGGGGUUCCUUGUUCAAAAGAAGGCUUUUUUGAAAACCUAGAUUUUAAAACUCCGAACCGAAUGUUUCUAUUAGUUCCCCACCGCCUUUUCCGCAGGACACCUGAUCCAAUCCAUUUUGAUUUCCAGGAUGGUGCUUUAUGCAGUUAUAUUUGUACAAUUCCUCCAACAUCCCCACCCCACCCUACCCUCCCAAAAAAAGGGGGAGUUAUCUCUUGUUAUAUCAUGUGAACUAGAGAUUCAAUAUAUUGUGAUGGUACGGUGAGGUUUGCUUUGAUAUGCUCACCCUCUUUAUUCCUUUUCUCUGCUGCAACAGGAGAUAGAUGGUAUUUGCAUAAGUUGGACACAGCAUUCUGCAAUCAUAAUAGAACAUCAAGGUUCCUCUGAGGAGAUUAAUCAAAUCUUUGGUUAUGACAGUAAAGUUUUUUCAUGAAAAUACUUGCUCAGAGCAUCUACCUUAGCUCACCCCGAAUUUUGGUUAUAAUAAUCUUUCCCCAUUUAAUGAGCAGUUUCAUUGUCAAUACUGUAGUAUGAGGUAAAUCUGCUGCGUAGGGAAUCAUUCAUGGUAAAGAUAUAAACCAAUCAUGUCAAUGGCAAGGAGUAAAUUGAAGUGCUUGCUCAGAAAACAAAACGCAGCACUAGUGCAUAUACAUUGAGUUUACAUAUUCAUGUUAAGCAUUUCUCAUGAAUACAGUUAUUUUUACAGUAGGUAUUUUCAAGUAAUUAGUCACUUGAGGGUCAGAAUGGACCUCGCUUGUUUCAUCAAGAUACCUUAGUGACGUCUUAUUUUGAUCAUGUCCAACAGGUGCGGCUGAAGAGUGAAGAUGCUUGAAGGAACUGUUGAGUAUUUAUCGCAAAUUAUUUCAGCUGUUCGUUCUAAUUGCCUAUUACCCUUGUAAACAUGUUUACAAGUUCAUAUUGUAAGUGUACCUGAUAAUAGAGCACGGAAGCAUCCACGUGAUGGCGAUGCUAUUCAGGUAUACUGGAUCUAUUAAAGCCUCUUUUAUCUACUUUUUCUUUUUUAAUAUUGCAGGCAAGCAGUUUUGUGGGAAAAGCACCAACCCUGGCUAAUUGGAUGGUAAUAUAGUUUAGUGCUUCUUAGAAUCAAUUUGAUUAUGUUGGGGGUGAAAAAAAAAAUCUCUACUGGGAAAGAUUGUUUGGCCUAGGACAAUCAGAUGUCAGACACUGACCUAUUCGACAAACAAGAAACAUGACUUCUUCAGCUAAACUACACAUUUGUUGGGAGGGGGAAGUCAAGUUAAAUACUGGUUUAUAUGCCUUGCAGCAAUCAUCUAUUACAAACAUAUACUCGAGAAGAUGACAAGCAGGGACAAGGACUACAGAUAUAUGGAAAUUUCUGAAUUGUUAAAUGAGCAAAGAUGGGUAUAAAGCGCUGUGCAACAUACUAAAAUAUUAUGAUGAUAGCAAACUCCAGUGAUCCGAACCAUUCCCAUUGAAGAAGAAGCAGAUAUGUAGAAGUUUCAUUUCAAUGCUCAAAAUAUUUAACAAGUGUUAUUUCAAAUAUUUGUCUCUCAGAGAGUUGAUAUUUCUAAAGAUCACUCAACUUUGGGAAUAUAUAUAGUAAUGUCAUUGGAUUUUGUUUUGUAUCAAUAAAAUUACUCAA
Molecule: long non-coding RNA, 7224 nt
Organism: Solanum tuberosum (potato)
Lineage: Eukaryota; Viridiplantae; Streptophyta; Magnoliopsida; Solanales; Solanaceae
Exons: 13
Source: RefSeq, a predicted model, not a curated record